RNAcentral lists this ribosomal RNA (253 nucleotides) under uncultured bacterium. RNAcentral describes it as "partial 16S ribosomal RNA". It matches the Rfam family "Bacterial small subunit ribosomal RNA", at positions 524 to 776 of the family's 1533-position model. The record is from RNAcentral.
UACAGAGGGUGCGAGCGUUAAUCGGAAUUACUGGGCGUAAAGCGUGCGUAGACGGUUAUUUAAGUCGGGUGUGAAAGCCCCGGGCUCAACCUGGGAAUUGCAUUCGAGACUGAAUAGCUAGGGUACGGUAGAGGGAAGCGGAAUUUCCGGUGUAGCGGUGAAAUGCGUAGAUAUCAGGAGGAACACCGGUGGCGAAGGCGGCUCUCUGGACCACAACUGACGCUGAGGCGCGAAAGCUAGGGGAGCAAACAGG